RNAcentral lists this ribosomal RNA (1444 nucleotides) under uncultured organism. Its description in RNAcentral is "SSU rRNA". It matches the Rfam family "Bacterial small subunit ribosomal RNA". The record is from RNAcentral.
UCUAGCUACAGGCUUAACACAUGCAAGUCGAGGGGCAGCAUGGUCUUAGCUUGCUAAGGCCGAUGGCGACCGGCGCACGGGUGAGUAACACGUAUCCAACCUGCCGUCUACUCUUGGACAGCCUUCUGAAAGGAAGAUUAAUACAAGAUGGCAUCAUGAGUCCGCAUGUUCACAUGAUUAAAGGUAUUCCGGUAGACGAUGGGGAUGCGUUCCAUUAGAUAGUAGGCGGGGUAACGGCCCACCUAGUCUUCGAUGGAUAGGGGUUCUGAGAGGAAGGUCCCCCACAUUGGAACUGAGACACGGUCCAAACUCCUACGGGAGGCAGCAGUGAGGAAUAUUGGUCAAUGGGCGAGAGCCUGAACCAGCCAAGUAGCGUGAAGGAUGACUGCCCUAUGGGUUGUAAACUUCUUUUAUAAAGGAAUAAAGUCGGGUAUGGAUACCCGUUUGCAUGUACUUUAUGAAUAAGGAUCGGCUAACUCCGUGCCAGCAGCCGCGGUAAUACGGAGGAUCCGAGCGUUAUCCGGAUUUAUUGGGUUUAAAGGGAGCGUAGAUGGAUGUUUAAGUCAGUUGUGAAAGUUUGCGGCUCAACCGUAAAAUUGCAGUUGAUACUGGAUAUCUUGAGUGCAGUUGAGGCAGGCGGAAUUCGUGGUGUAGCGGUGAAAUGCUUAGAUAUCACGAAGAACUCCGAUUGCGAAGGCAGCCUGCUAAGCUGCAACUGACAUUGAGGCUCGAAAGUGUGGGUAUCAAACAGGAUUAGAUACCCUGGUAGUCCACACGGUAAACGAUGAAUACUCGCUGUUUGCGAUAUACGGCAAGCGGCCAAGCGAAAGCGUUAAGUAUUCCACCUGGGGAGUACGCCGGCAACGGUGAAACUCAAAGGAAUUGACGGGGGCCCGCACAAGCGGAGGAACAUGUGGUUUAAUUCGAUGAUACGCGAGGAACCUUACCCGGGCUUAAAUUGCAGAUGAAUUACGGUGAAAGCCGUAAGCCGCAAGGCAUCUGUGAAGGUGCUGCAUGGUUGUCGUCAGCUCGUGCCGUGAGGUGUCGGCUUAAGUGCCAUAACGAGCGCAACCCUUGUUGUCAGUUACUAACAGGUUCCGCUGAGGACUCUGACAAGACUGCCAUCGUAAGAUGUGAGGAAGGUGGGGAUGACGUCAAAUCAGCACGGCCCUUACGUCCGGGGCUACACACGUGUUACAAUGGGGGGUACAGAGGGCCGCUACCACGCGAGUGGAUGCCAAUCCCCAAAACCUCUCUCAGUUCGGACUGGAGUCUGCAACCCGACUCCACGAAGCUGGAUUCGCUAGUAAUCGCGCAUCAGCCACGGCGCGGUGAAUACGUUCCCGGGCCUUGUACACACCGCCCGUCAAGCCAUGGGAGCCGGGGGUACCUGAAGUGCGUAACCGCGAGGAGCGCCCUAGGGUAAAACUGGUGACUGGGGCUA